Molecule: ribosomal RNA, 682 nt
Filed under: Pristimantis rosadoi
Lineage: Eukaryota; Metazoa; Chordata; Amphibia; Anura; Strabomantidae
Description: partial large subunit ribosomal RNA
Rfam family: Bacterial large subunit ribosomal RNA
Source: RNAcentral
AGCUGGUUUCUCAAGAAAAGAAUCUUAGUUCCGCCUAAAGCAACAUAAAUUUUUCCAAAAUUCCCCCAAGCCUUUAGAGUAAGUCAAAUAAGGUACAGCCUAUUUGACACAGGACUCAACCUUUAAUAACGGGUAAAACAACUUUAAACAUAAGUGGGCCUAAGAGCAGCCACCUUUUAAAAAGCGUCAAAGCUUACACAAUUCCUAAUUCCUAAAACAUUAUUGACCCCUUCAUUUCUAUUGAGAACUCCUAUAAUUUUAUAGGACCUUUUAUGCUAAAACUAGUAACAAGAGGUUAUCCCUCUCUAAAAUGUAAACUCAAACCAGCUUGAACCCAUCACUGGCACCCAACAGAUUUUAACUAAAGUAAUAACCACUCUAGAAAACAUUACUUCACCAUUACUGUUAACCUAACACAAGAACAUUUUAAGAAAGAUUAAAAGAAAAAGAAGGAACUCGGCAAAUAUUAAGCCCGCCUGUUUACCAAAAACAUCGCCUCUUGCCCCCACAUAAGAGGCCUAGCCUGCCCAGUGAUUUUAUUCAACGGCCGCGGUAUCCUAACCGUGCGAAGGUAGCGUAAUCACUUGUCUCCUAAAUAGAGACUAGUAUGAAAGGCAUCACGAGACUUAUACUGUCUCCUUUCUCUAAUCAGUGAACCUAAUCUCCCCGUGAAGAAGCGGGG